GGUAUGUUAAUAGCAUACUCAUUUGACGUUAGCUGCAGAAGAAGCACCGGCUAACUCCGUGCCAGCAGCCGCGGUAAUACGGAGGGUGCGAGCGUUAAUCGGAAUUACUGGGCGUAAAGCGCAUGCAGGUGGUUUGUUAAGUCAGAUGUGAAAGCCCGGGGCUCAACCUCGGAAUUGCAUUUGAAACUGGCAAACUAGAGUACUGUAGAGGGGGUAGAAUUUCAGGUGUAGCGGUGAAAUGCGUAGAGAUCUGAAGGAAUACCGGUGGCGAAGGCGGCCCCCUGGACAGAUACUGACACUCAGAUGCGAAAGCGUGGGGAGCAAACAGGAUUAGAUACCCUGGUAG
Molecule: ribosomal RNA, 346 nt
Filed under: uncultured bacterium
Lineage: Bacteria
Description: bacterial SSU rRNA
Rfam family: Bacterial small subunit ribosomal RNA
Source: RNAcentral